GACGAACGCUGGCGGCGUGCUUAACACAUGCAAGUCGAACGGAAAGGCCCUGCUUGCGUGGGGUGCUCGAGGGGCGAACGGGUGAGUAACACGUGAGUAACCUGCCCUUGACUUUGGGAUAACUUCAGGAAACUGGGGCUAAUACCGGAUAGGAGCUCCUGCUGCAUGGUGGGGGUUGGAAAGUUUCGGCGGUUGGGGAUGGACUCGCGGCUUAUCAGCUUGUUGGUGGGGUAGUGGUUUACCAAGGCAUUGACGGGUAGCCGGCCUGAGAGCGUGACCGGCCACAUUGGGACUGAGAUACGGCCCAGACUCGUACGGGAGGCAGCAGUGGGGAGUAUUGCACAAUGGGCGGAAGCCUGAUGAAGCAACGCCGCGUUCGGGAUGACGUCCUUCGGGUUGUAAACCGCUUUCGCCUGUGACGAAGCGUGAGUGACGGUAAUGGGUGAAGAAGCACCGGCUAACUACGUG
This 468-nucleotide ribosomal RNA is filed under the name uncultured bacterium. RNAcentral's name for it is "partial 16S ribosomal RNA". It matches the Rfam family "Bacterial small subunit ribosomal RNA", at positions 28 to 507 of the family's 1533-position model. The record is from RNAcentral.